Long non-coding RNA from Gossypium raimondii (Peruvian cotton), 641 nucleotides. RefSeq lists it as uncharacterized. NCBI's taxonomy places the organism in Eukaryota, Viridiplantae, Streptophyta, Magnoliopsida, Malvales, Malvaceae. The transcript is spliced from 2 exons. The record is from RefSeq and is a predicted model, not a curated record.
CUCCAAUCAUUCAAAUCUGUAGCUUUGCUGUUGCUUUAUCAACAACGCAACUGUCUGAUAAUUUAACGCCAUUGCUUGCCACUAGUUCAAUGUCUAUCCUCAAGCUCGCCACUCUCUACCAUUUCUUCUGGAUGGAACAAUAUUCCCCCCCAAUCUUUUGAGACAAUCGUCAAUAUAACUUCAAAUUUUCAUUAACAAAACGAUGAUGUCCACCCAUAUAAGCAAGCAAGCAACCAUAUAUGCCACUCAAAAGGAAACUUACAAAUUUAUGCUUACAAGGCUAGACCGGUUAAACCUCGUUCAUGUUUUCCUUCAGUCCCUCUUUUCCUUAAACUCAUUGACCAAUAUUUCUCGACUCACCGUGUUCACGACCUCUAGAUUUGCUACUUACAAGGCCCGAUUUCAUAAUUUCAAGCAUCUAAACGUGAACGUUUUCGGAACUCAACUCGGAGCUUCAAAUUUUAAGGGUUUGGAAUUUGGUGAAGAUUAAAAAAAACACAACAAAUGCAGGUGCAAAAUACAACACGGAAUAGUAACUGACACAAAAGCAAUUCAAGAAAUAUAUAUAUACAACAGUUAAAUUAAGCUUUGUUAAGAACCACUUAAUGAAAACAAGAUUAUUCUAUAUUUGAUCAAGAAAA